UACGUAGGGUGCAAGCGUUGUCCGGAAUUAUUGGGCGUAAAGAGCUCGUAGGCGGUUUGUCGCGUCUGGUGUGAAAAUCCAGGGCUUAACCCUGGACCUGCAUCGGGUACGGGCAGACUAGAGUGCGGUAGGGGAGAUCGGAAUUCCUGGUGUAGCGGUGAAAUGCGCAGAUAUCAGGAGGAACACCUGCGGCGAAGGCGGGUUGCUGGGCUGACACUGACGCUGAUGCGCGAAAGCCAGGGGAGCGAACGGG
Molecule: ribosomal RNA, 253 nt
Filed under: uncultured bacterium
Lineage: Bacteria
Description: partial 16S ribosomal RNA
Rfam family: Bacterial small subunit ribosomal RNA
Source: RNAcentral